CCCGCAACGAGCGCAACCCUUGCCAUUAGUUGCUACCAUUUAGUUGAGCACUCUAAUGGGACUGCCGGUGACAAACCGGAGGAAGGUGGGGAUGACGUCAAGUCCUCAUGGCCCUUAUGACCAGGGCUUCACACGUCAUACAAUGGUCGGUACAGAGGGUAGCCAAGCCGCGAGGUGGAGCCAAUCUCAUAAAACCGAUCGUAGUCCGGAUCGCACUCUGCAACUCGAGUGCGUGAAGUCGGAAUCGCUAGUAAUCGCAGAUCAGCAUGCUGCGGUGAAUACGUU
This 285-nucleotide ribosomal RNA is filed under the name Aquitalea sp. January_NA1C2. RNAcentral describes it as "partial 16S ribosomal RNA". It matches the Rfam family "Bacterial small subunit ribosomal RNA", at positions 1086 to 1372 of the family's 1533-position model. Lineage: Bacteria; Pseudomonadati; Pseudomonadota; Betaproteobacteria; Neisseriales; Chromobacteriaceae. The record is from RNAcentral.